AUACGGAGGGCGCAAGCGUUGUUCGGAAUCAUUGGGCGUAAAGCGGGUGCAGGCGGUGAAGUCAGUCGGAUGUGAAAGCCCAGGGCCCAACCCUGGAACUGCAUUCGAAACUGCUUCACUAGAGUCCCGGAGGGGAAGGCGGAAUUCCCGGUGUAGAGGUGAAAUUCGUAGAUAUCGGGAGGAACACCAGUGGCGAAGGCGGCCUUCUGGACGGUGACUGACGCUCAGACCCGAAAGCGUGGGGAGCAAACAGGAUUAGAAACCCCAGUAGUCC
RNAcentral lists this ribosomal RNA (274 nucleotides) under uncultured bacterium. RNAcentral's name for it is "partial 16S ribosomal RNA". It matches the Rfam family "Bacterial small subunit ribosomal RNA", at positions 523 to 796 of the family's 1533-position model. The record is from RNAcentral.